UUGCAAGCCUUCCGGCAUGCUUGAGUUUAGGAGACUGCAUUCCUACAGUGCUCACUAGAUUAUUCUGAAGUGGUUUGAGGCCUUGCUUUGUCUCCCUCAGAGCACUGCCAUAGACACUUCAGACAGUU
Molecule: small nucleolar RNA, 128 nt
Filed under: Nannospalax galili (Upper Galilee mountains blind mole rat)
Lineage: Eukaryota; Metazoa; Chordata; Mammalia; Rodentia; Spalacidae
Description: Small nucleolar RNA SNORA9 (ENSNGAG00000007578.1)
Source: RNAcentral